GAAAGGUAAGUAAAGGCGAGAGGGUAUGUUAAAACAAAUGGAACUAUUUCGCUUCGCCUCUUCUGUUUGUUUUCUAGUAUGUCUUUGCGGCUGUUAUUGUAAGCUAGUGCAAACCUCCUAUCUAUGUACUGUGUAACCUAUGUAAUCCGACACACUGGGGGACCAGAACAAAUGUUGGAUUAAGUAGGGUGACGGAAUAGUCAGGUUUUUUCUGCAAGGAUAGGCAUCUUUUGGGACCCAGAAAAUGUGUCAGUUGGAUCAAUACUCGCAAUUGUUUCUCCAUAGGCGGUAAUAUUGACGUUUUCCAUAUCGUUAACUUGGAUAUGUGUGAUUGCUCAUUUCUAAGCGGAGACAUUUUCACAUAUCUGGUUAAAUUUUCGGGGUACGAAGUGAGAGUACUUCUUCCGUAAAUUAGCAUACCCUGAAAAUUCUUUCAUUCUGCAGCUCCUCAUGGUAAAAAUAUCCCUUUUUUAACAUCAUUAUUAUUUUAAAAUUUAAUACUUUGAAC
This 508-nucleotide long non-coding RNA is filed under the name Mytilus galloprovincialis (Mediterranean mussel). The record is from RNAcentral. Lineage: Eukaryota; Metazoa; Mollusca; Bivalvia; Mytilida; Mytilidae.